RNAcentral lists this ribosomal RNA (253 nucleotides) under uncultured prokaryote. RNAcentral describes it as "partial 16S ribosomal RNA". It matches the Rfam family "Bacterial small subunit ribosomal RNA", at positions 525 to 777 of the family's 1533-position model. The record is from RNAcentral.
ACGGAGGAUGCAAGCGUUAUCCGGAAUGAUUGGGCGUAAAGGGUCCGCAGGUGGCAGUGUAAGUCUGCUGUCAAAGAAUGAGGCUUAACCUCAUCAAGGCAGUGGAAACUACACAGCUAGAGUACGGUCGGGGUAGAAGGAAUUCCUGGUGUAGCGGUGAAAUGCGUAGAGAUCGGGAGGAAGGCCGGUGGCGAAGGCGGCGCUCUGGAACAUUUCUGACGCUGAGGCUCGAAAGCGUGGGGAGCAAACAGGA